Molecule: ribosomal RNA, 311 nt
Filed under: uncultured eukaryote
Lineage: Eukaryota
Description: partial 18S ribosomal RNA
Rfam family: Eukaryotic small subunit ribosomal RNA
Source: RNAcentral
CCCCUAGACGUUCUGGGCUGCACGCGCGCUACAAUAGUGCGCACAGCGAGUAUCACCGAGCUCGAAAGGGCAAGGUAAACAAUAGAAAAGGUACUGUAAUGGUUAUAGAUCCUUGUAAUUAUUGAUCUUCAACGAGGAAUUCCUAGUAAGUAUGUGUCAUCAUCACGCACUGAUUACGUCCCUGCCCUUUGUACACACCGCCCGUCGCUCCUACCGAUUGGGUGAGCCGAUGAAACUCUCGGAUGUAGGCUAUUCAUAGCCCGCAGAAGAGAUUUGAAUCGUAGCGCUUAGAGGAAGGAGAAGUCGUAACA